Molecule: ribosomal RNA, 251 nt
Filed under: uncultured bacterium
Lineage: Bacteria
Description: partial 16S ribosomal RNA
Rfam family: Bacterial small subunit ribosomal RNA
Source: RNAcentral
CUGGUUAGUGGCGGACGGGUGAGUAACACGUAAGUAAUCUACCAUACAGCCUGGGAUAACCUGCCGAAAGGUGGGCUAAUACCGGAUAUAAUCCUGAUCACAUAAGUGGUUAGGAUGAAAGGUUUUUCGCUGUUUGAUGAACUUGCGGCCUAUCAGCUAGUUGGUGAGGUAAUGGCUCACCAAGGCGAUGACGGGUAGCUGGUCUGAGAGGACGAUCAGCCACACUGGAACUGAGACACGGUCCAGACUCC